GCAGUGAGGAAUCUUGCGCAAUGGGGGCAACUCUGACGCAGCCACGCCGCGUGCUGGAAGACGGCCCUAUGGGUUGUAAACAGCUUUUGGUCGGGAAGAACCCCGGAGUUUCGACUCCGGCUGACGGUACCGAUUGAAUAAGCACCGGCUAACUCCGUGCCAGCAGCCGCGGUAAUACGGAGGGUGCAAGCGUUGUCCGGAAUUAUUGGGUGUAAAGGGUGUGCAGGCGGAAGUCUAAGUCGGAGGUGAAAUCUUGCCGCUUAACGGUAAAAGGGCCUUCGAAACUGGAUUUCUUGAGUUCGGAAGAGGUUGGUGGAAUUCGUGGUGUAGCGGUGAAAUGCAUAGAUAUCACGAAGAACACCGGUGGCGAAGGCGGCCAACUGGUCCGAUACUGACGCUGAGACACGAAAGCGUGGGGAGCGAACAGGAUUAGAUACCCUGGUAGUCCACGCUGUAAACGAUGCA
RNAcentral lists this ribosomal RNA (465 nucleotides) under uncultured Fodinibius sp. Its description in RNAcentral is "bacterial SSU rRNA". It matches the Rfam family "Bacterial small subunit ribosomal RNA", at positions 351 to 813 of the family's 1533-position model. Lineage: Bacteria; Pseudomonadati; Balneolota; Balneolia; Balneolales; Balneolaceae. The record is from RNAcentral.